GACGAACGCUGGCGGCGUGCUUAACACAUGCAAGUCGAACGCUGAAGCUCAGCUUUUGUUGGGUGGAUGAGUGGCGAACGGGUGAGUAACACGUGAGUAACCUGCCUCCUUCUUUGGGAUAACGCCCGGAAACGGGUGCUAAUACCGGAUAUUCACUGGUCUUCGCAUGGGGGUUGGUGGAAAGGGUUUUUCUGGUGGGGGAUGGGCUCGCGGCCUAUCAGCUUGUUGGUGGGGUGAUGGCCUACCAAGGCUUUGACGGGUAGCCGGCCUGAGAGGGUGACCGGUCACAUUGGGACUGAGAUACGGCCCAGACUCCUACGGGAGGCAGCAGUGGGGAAGAUUGCACAAUGGGCGCAAGCCUGAUGCAGCGACGCCGCGUGAGGGAUGGAGGCCUUCGGGUUGUGAACCUCUUUCGCUCAUGGUCAAGCCGCAACAAUGGUUGUGGUGAGGGUAGUGGGUAAAGAAGCGCCGGCUAACUACGUG
RNAcentral lists this ribosomal RNA (483 nucleotides) under uncultured bacterium. RNAcentral describes it as "partial 16S ribosomal RNA". It matches the Rfam family "Bacterial small subunit ribosomal RNA", at positions 28 to 507 of the family's 1533-position model. The record is from RNAcentral.